This 1253-nucleotide long non-coding RNA is filed under the name Homo sapiens (human). RNAcentral describes it as "HSALNT0152207". Lineage: Eukaryota; Metazoa; Chordata; Mammalia; Primates; Hominidae. The record is from RNAcentral.
GCGCCACCGGACUCCCGCCCCUCCCAGCGUCAGUUAAGACGCCGCGAGGGGCCCAGAGUCCCUCCCCUCGCUGGGCCCCGGUCCCGCCGGCGUCUAUAACGCCGUCGCAGCGGCCUUUAACCCCGCCUCUCACUCGAGCCCUGCCCGCGUCCAAGUCCCGCCCUCAAGGCGGCCUCAGCUACGACCGCCGCGCGCCUCCCUGGAGGCGCCCGCUCCUGCCCGGAGCCCUGCCCGUCUUGGGCCCGCCCUUCCGGGCCCUGCCGCGUUGAGUGGCGGAGUCGGGAUCCAGGUGGCCCGCCGGCCGGCUCAGUCCACCUCCCCGCUCCCGGCCUCGCGCCCCACCCCUUGGAUGAGAAAACUGAAACUGAGAGGGGACGUGACUGAUCCAACGCCCAACCCAGAGCUGGAUCACAAGGAAGACUGGAAGCUCCACUCCCCCAUGGAGCUUCCCUGUUACCAGAGGACACAAACACACAUCUGCAUGUUGAUCUGAGAGCCCUGUGUGGAGAGGAACUAGGCCCCCAGCCAACAACCAGCAGUGACUCACUGUGAGAGAGUGAAUCAUCUUGGAAGUGGAUCCUAAGCCCCAAUAGAGACUUCAGAUGAAACUGCAACCCUGGCUGACAUCUGACUGCAGUGGCAUAAGAAACCCUUAUGUCAGAAUCACCCUGCAAAGCCCAAAUUCUUGACCCACCAAGUGAAAGAGAAUAAAUGACGAUUGUUGUGUUUGAACUCCCAUGUUUUUGGGUAAUCAGUUCCACGGCAAUAAAUAACUAAUGUACUAGACAUCUGAGCAGAGGCCUUGCUGCACUGCGGAAGCUAGAUGAUAGCUGGGGAAGUGUUCCAGAUGAAACAGGGCAGGCAGGAGCCCCGAGGCAGAAAUGAACUUGCUGUGCCUGAGAGACAACCAUUGUGAUAUUGUGGCUGGAGUGGAGUAAGGGGAACAGUAACAGGGAGUGACUGGGCGUAUUAGGCAGGGUCAUGCAGGCCAGGUGGCUGGGAGCCCAUGGUUUGGGGGCUGUAAGCUGGGGGAAGGGCAUGGUGAUUUGCUCUGAUUUACAUAUUUUAACAACCCUCUAUAUACACAAAAUAACUAAAAGCAAGGUCUCAAAAGAGGUUAUCUGUACACUGAUUCACAGUAGCCAAGAGGUGGAUACAACCCAAGUGUCCAUCAAGAGAUGAAUGGAUAGGCUGGGUGAAGUGGCUCAUGUCUGUAAUCCCAGCACUUUGGGAGGCCGAGGUGAGUGGAUCGC